RNAcentral lists this ribosomal RNA (450 nucleotides) under uncultured bacterium. RNAcentral describes it as "partial 16S ribosomal RNA". It matches the Rfam family "Bacterial small subunit ribosomal RNA", at positions 354 to 796 of the family's 1533-position model. The record is from RNAcentral.
GUGGGGAAUUUUGGACAAUGUGCGCAAGCCUGAUCCAGCAAUGCCGCGUGCAGGAAGAAGGCCUUCGGGUUGUAAACUGCUUUUGUACGGAACGAAACGGCUCUGGUUAAUACCCGGGGCUAAUGACGGUACCGUAAGAAUAAGCACCGGCUAACUACGUGCCAGCAGCCGCGGUAAUACGUAGGGUGCGAGCGUUAAUCGGAAUUACUGGGCGUAAAGCGUGCGCAGGCGGUGCUGUAAGACAGGCGUGAAAUCCCCGGGCUCAACCUGGGAAUUGCGCUUGUGACUGCAGUGCUGGAGUACGGCAGAGGGGGAGGGAAUUCCGCGUGUAGCAGUGAAAUGCGUAGAUAUGCGGAGGAACACCGAUGGCGAAGGCAAUCCCCUGGGCCUGCACUGACGCUCAUGCACGAAAGCGUGGGGAGCAAACAGGAUUAGAAACCCUAGUAGUCC